Molecule: transfer RNA, 55 nt
Filed under: Mus musculus (house mouse)
Lineage: Eukaryota; Metazoa; Chordata; Mammalia; Rodentia; Muridae
Also listed under: 1 other name
Source: Rfam by way of RNAcentral
GCUCAGUGGUUAGAGCACUGGCUACUUGUCCAGAGGUCCUGAGUUCAAUUCUCAG